GUCUACAUGAUCUCAUAUAUUUAGUCUAACCUGCCCAAUGAAGUUUGAAUGGCCGCGGUAUUUUGACCGUGCAAAGGUAGCAUAAUAAUUAGUUUUUUAAUUGAAAGCUUGGAUGAAAGGUUGAACAAAGAAUAAACUGUUUCUAUUUUUAAGUUUAAAGUUUACUUUUAAGUGAAAAGGCUUAAAUAAUCUUAAGAGACGAUAAGACCCUAUAAAUCUUUAUAAAUUUUUUUUUAAAAAUUCUUAUAUUGUUUAUUUUAAUUUAUAAAAAAAAAUAUAUUAUGUUGGGGUGACAAGAAUAUUUUCAAAAAACUGUUCUAGAUUUUAUACAAUUAUAUUUGUAGUUUAAUAGUAGACCCUUAAAUUAAGAUUAAAAGUUUAAGUUACUUUAGGGAUAACAGCGUAAUUUUUUUUGAGAGCCCUUAUCGAAAAAAAAGUUUGCGACCUCGAUGUUGAAUUAAAAUUUCUUUAAUUGAUGCAGAAGUCAUAAAAGUAAGUCUGUUCGACUUUUAAAAUUUU
This 519-nucleotide ribosomal RNA is filed under the name Phylladiorhynchus nui. RNAcentral describes it as "partial large subunit ribosomal RNA". It matches the Rfam family "Archaeal large subunit ribosomal RNA", at positions 1922 to 2666 of the family's 2987-position model. Lineage: Eukaryota; Metazoa; Arthropoda; Malacostraca; Decapoda; Galatheidae. The record is from RNAcentral.